UCUGGGUUUAUCCCAGCGGUCCCGCCAGAGAUAUUUAACUGGCAGCGAGGGUUGCGCUCGUUGCGGGACUUAACCCAACACCUCACGGCACGAGCUGACGACAGCCAUGCACCACCUGUGCACGACCCUUACGGACCCCGCAUCUCUGCGAGAUUUCCGUGCAUGUCAAGCCUAGGUAAGGUUCUUCGCGUUGCAUCGAAUUAAACCACAUGCUCCACCGCUUGUGCGGGCCCCCGUCAAUUCCUUUGAGUUUCAGUCUUGCGACCGUACUCCCCAGGCGGCGAACUUAACGCGUUAGCUUCGAUACUGCGUGCCAAAUUGCACCCAACAUCCAGUUCGCAUCGUUUAGGGCGUGGACUAC
RNAcentral lists this unclassified non-coding RNA (361 nucleotides) under uncultured bacterium. RNAcentral describes it as "contains 16S-23S intergenic spacer region". The record is from RNAcentral.